RNAcentral lists this unclassified non-coding RNA (350 nucleotides) under soil metagenome. Its description in RNAcentral is "partial contains 5.8S ribosomal RNA, internal transcribed spacer 2, and large subunit ribosomal RNA". The stretch from base 1 to 120 matches the Rfam family "5.8S ribosomal RNA", at positions 35 to 154 of the family's 154-position model. The record is from RNAcentral.
GAUGAAGAACGUAGCGAAAUGCGAUACGUAGUGUGAAUUGCAGAAUUCAGUGAAUCAUCGAAUCUUUGAACGCACAUUGCACCUCUCGGUAUUCCGGAGGGCAUGCCUGUUCGAGCGUCAUUAUCACCCCUCAAGCCCGGCUUGUUGUUGGAUGCAGCGCUUAUCCCGCUCCUCCCAAAGAUAAUGACGGCGUCUGCGACGACUCCUGUACACUGAGCUUUCGGGCACGUACACGGCUAGAAGUCCAGACCCGGUCGCCGUCCCCCCCGCGGGGACACCCAUUACCACAAGGUUGACCUCGGAUCAGGUAGGAAUACCCGCUGAACUUAAGCAUAUCAAUAAGCGGAGGA